GAUGAACGCUAGCUACAGGCUUAACACAUGCAAGUCGAGGGGUAACGAGAGGAAAGCUUGCUUUCCUUGUCGACGACCGGCGCACGGGUGAGUAACGCGUAUCCAACCUGCCCCCAACUAGGGAAUAACCUUGCGAAAGUAAGACUAAUACCCUAUAAUUUCCUCAGAUGUCAUCUGACGAGGAAUAAAGAUUUAUCGGUUGUGGAUGGGGAUGCGUGUGAUUAGCUUGUUGGCGGGGUAACGGCCCACCAAGGCAACGAUCAGUAGGGGUUCUGAGAGGAAGGUCCCCCACAUUGGAACUGAGACACGGUUCAAACUCCUACGGGAGGCAGCAGUGAGGAAUAUUGGUCAAUGGGCGGAAGCCUGAACCAGCCAAGUAGCGUGCAGGAUGACGGCCCUAUGGGUUGUAACUGCUUUUAUACAGGAAUAAAGUUAGCCACGUGUGGUUAUUUGUAGGUACUGUAUGAAUAAGGACCGGCUAAUUCCGUGCCAGCCGCCGCGGUAA
This 505-nucleotide ribosomal RNA is filed under the name uncultured bacterium. RNAcentral's name for it is "partial 16S ribosomal RNA". It matches the Rfam family "Bacterial small subunit ribosomal RNA", at positions 28 to 523 of the family's 1533-position model. The record is from RNAcentral.